This 72-nucleotide transfer RNA is filed under the name Ictidomys tridecemlineatus (thirteen-lined ground squirrel). RNAcentral's name for it is "Spermophilus tridecemlineatus (thirteen-lined ground squirrel) tRNA". It matches the Rfam family "tRNA". Rfam says of the family: Transfer RNA (tRNA) molecules are approximately 80 nucleotides in length. Their secondary structure includes four short double-helical elements and three loops (D, anti-codon, and T loops). Further hydrogen bonds mediate the characteristic L-shaped molecular structure. tRNAs have two regions of fundamental functional importance: the anti-codon, which is responsible for specific mRNA codon recognition, and the 3' end, to which the tRNAs corresponding amino acid is attached (by aminoacyl-tRNA synthetases). tRNAs cope with the degeneracy of the genetic code in two manners: having more than one tRNA (with a specific anti-codon) for a particular amino acid; and 'wobble' base-pairing, i.e. permitting non-standard base-pairing at the 3rd anti-codon position. RNAcentral also lists the same sequence under 1 other name. The record is from Rfam by way of RNAcentral. Lineage: Eukaryota; Metazoa; Chordata; Mammalia; Rodentia; Sciuridae.
UGGGGUGUGGCUUAGUGGUAUAGUGCUUGCCUAGCACACAUGAGGCAGUGGGUUCAAUCCUCAGCACCACAU